GCGGGUCACGUGACGGAGCCAUUCUAUCGCGAUUGGUUUCUAGAGAAAGGGGCGUGUACCUAGGCGCCACGCGGCCUAUAAAUAGAGACGCAGGCCGCGUACUCUGCCUUUUCGUCGUGGGAUGGAAGGCGUGGGAGGUGCGUGCUUGCGACCUUUGCUUUUGGGAGGCUGGGAAAGAAACGGUUGCCUCCGCUGUAUCUAUUCUGUGCCGCAGUAAUCCGAACGAUCGUGAAGCGGCAAAACGUUUGCGCCUUUUUUACAGAACGUUUCCUCGUUGCCGUCUAGCGGUCGUUGGGAUUUUUGCCGCCUGACGGAUGGGCAGCAGUCCUGAUUGCGAUUGAACAUCUGGCAGAUGUUAUUGACCCAGCAUUUAUUUUACAAUAAAAAUGCCUGGGAUUUGAGCAGAGCCUUUUAGUCGUGGUAUGGUAGGGAUCCUGUCUUGCCUCGCUGCUCUGAUUUGGGGAAUUUUUGUCCUUACUAACUUGCACUCGUACACCUUGCUUAAGGGGUGGGUAACUCACGACGGCAAUGACUGCAGUGCCUUUUAGAGCCGUUUUACGAAACAUCACGUGGAACUGAACUGAGAAGAUCGUGGAGAAGGCAUUGCGUUAGGACGGGGGACUGCAAACGUGGCUUUUUUAAGACUUGUGGACUUCAACUCCCAGAUUCUCCCAACCAAUGGAGAAUCGUGAUUGUGAGUUGGAUGUGCUUCAGUGCCCUUGAGUACAUUGUCCUUGGUGCUGACAAAUUAAGUCUCGGUUGGUGAAAAGGGAGACUUUGGGGCUUCUUGAGGUAUAGUGGUGUGGAGGUGGCGUUUUAUGGUCCAUAAUUGGGCAGUAGAUUGUACUUUGCUUUUGCAAGGACUCUCGAGAGGGAGAGAGGUCCGGUAUAUGUCUUGAUUCCAGAGGUAGAUUUGUGAGGUUUGGAAUACGACUUUGCUGAUGCCAAAGCACCCACCCCUUGUGCUUUCAGAUGUGUUGCGCCCCUGACUUACCUAAUGCUUUCUAGUUCACAUGUUUGAAAAAGUUGGAAUUGGUGAAUAGGGCAUGACUCACUUGCCAUAUAAAAGAAAGGUUAGAACUUUAUUCUAGUUUAAUGAUGGCGGUGUAUCCUGAGUUGGAAGUGGGUGGGGGGAACGUUUUCCUCCCUCAAAUGUGAAAAGUGCCAGUGGUCCUGCAGAGAAGGUGCUUUAGAGCAAAAAAAAAAAAAGUUUAAGUUUUCCAGCCUGAAAUUUAUGAGCACAAGAGUGAUGGCUGCUAUGAAUGUUGUUAAAAGAAGUGAAGAAAUUCAUGGGUGACAUGUCUGAUACGGACUUGAAUAGUCUUGAAGACUCCAAAGGUUUCCUCCACAUUAUUAACAUCUCCAAAGAACUGCAGUAGGAGAGGGAUAUAGCUGCAUCUCCUUGUGAGCACAUCAAAAUAAACCUUUGUAAUCCUGCUUUUGAGUGAUCUAAAUUGGGAACCCUAUGCUGGCUGCUGUGAUGAUAUUUUUGGCGUGUUAGACUGCUGAUGCAGAUGAAGAGACACUGUAUCUGAGCCACCAGCAUUAGUUGCCCAGGUGCAGGUGUGCCAAGAUUGUCUUGAUGCUGAAUGAAAACCUCUGGAACCAACUGUCACUUGUUGAACCAAGCAACACAAAGAGGGCUGUAAUGUGGGGAUGUCUUGAAUGUUGUAAAUAAAUAAAUUUAAAAAUGUAAAAA
Long non-coding RNA from Ahaetulla prasina, 1699 nucleotides. RefSeq lists it as uncharacterized. NCBI's taxonomy places the organism in Eukaryota, Metazoa, Chordata, Lepidosauria, Squamata, Colubridae. The record is from RefSeq and is a predicted model, not a curated record. The transcript is spliced from 2 exons.